UUCCAGUUUGGCAUUUGCCUCACGUGGCCAUGGAGGGAUCUUUUAGCCAUUAGUGAUUGGAUACGUCUCAAUUUGCAAUGAUUGGCAGGGGCUCAACUCUGCUGCAAGAGUAUACUCUUCAGUUAGGUUGCAAUUUGCUCGUGCACUUAAUUAGGUUACAGCUUACUACACACAGAGGUGGUUCUGGGUCAAAUUUUCAUACCCAAGUACCAAAACAGAGGCCGAACUUUUCAAGCUUGAUGGACAUUGCCAAAAGUCUUCCAGGUCCUUUCCUGCACAGGCUGCUGAUAAGCAUCUUGGCAUUCAGGAUAGGUGGCGGUUCUCCACCUGGUCCCAGAAUGCAGUUUUGUAGCCUUAACAGACUUAAAUAUAUGACUGCUCCUGUACACUUAAACAGGAACAUCCAAGAAUCAAAACCACCUUGCUUUCCAGCCUGGUAGUGAUGUUUAAAAUGCACCGUUUCUCUCUCAAUGCCUAUUUCCCUCCACAGUAGGAGGAGAGAGAACCUUAGCCAUGGAAAGACCUCAGUCCUCUUUGGGGCAAAUGGCUUUUAAACCGCUCCCAAGGGGAGCCAUUGAUCAUCCCGCCUGACAGGAUCUGGCCUAUUAUUUCCGUGCUUUAAGCGACGCAGGCUGGCUCCCAUGGUUCUCAGCCUCUAAGUAGAGCUGGUGAAAUUAACUUGAAUGACCUAAUUCCCACCUUCCAGUCCACCCCUUCAUAUGCACUGUGCAAAGGGCAAAACAGAAGCGAAAUGGGAAAGAUUAACAAGGACCGUGCCAGCCCUUCUAGGAGAAGCCAUUGUUUCACUGCAUCUGGGGAGAAAACUACACUAUUUGGCAGUGUGGGGGGCCCCCAGGCACCGGCUGGUGCUAAUGAGCAAUGUGGUUGCUGAGCGGAGCUGUUGCCCUGGACCCGCCCUGUCUACCCUGGUUGACAGGUGCUGAGGGGAGGGGCAGGCCACAGCUGCUGGGGCAGGAAUCCCAUUAUCCUUUGCUGUGCAUUGAUUCACCCUGUGGGGACAUUUCCUCUCUGGCUGUGCUAAUUUGCCUGGCUCUGGGAGCACACAGUGUCUGAGCUGCAGUCUGCUGUUUCUGUGUGAGCGUGAUUCCCCUCAGCAUUGUGUAACCUCCUUCCUGAAGAAAGGUGAGGAGAGGCAGCUCUGAGACUUGAGAUAGUGUUGAGCUGACACACUCAGAGCUCUCUGGAGACAAGCCAAGUGCAGAGAGAGCAGAUCCAAGAACGAAGAGAACACACUCAGCCCUGGUCCUUCCAGAAAUACAAAGAGAAAACAAAACCAAGAAGCCAGGCAAACAAACACAAAACAAAGAAACAGAACCAGCUCUGGAGAGAACCAACAUUGGGCAAAGAGGAACCUGAGGAUGCUUCCAUCAAGGGGAAGGGAGAGAAAAGACAAGGGACCAAGAUAGAAGAUCCUGUGUUCAAUUUAGGUGGCAGUGUGCAUAGCUGAGCCAUUGUAUGCUGAAAAUAAGCAGAGAAGAUUGUGGCUAGGUUUCCUGAUAGAGUGCUGCAGUUCCUGACUUCCAUGUAGGCUUCUUCCUGCUUAGAGAGGAGAUACAGGAUGCUUGUUAGUGAGAUGGCCAUCUCAUCAGUAAGAGAUCAAGGUAUAAAGUAAAUGAUCAGGCUCUUGCUACCCAGAAUUCCCUGGGAAACAGAGGGACGCACUCCAUCUAGG
Molecule: long non-coding RNA, 1693 nt
Organism: Mus musculus (house mouse)
Lineage: Eukaryota; Metazoa; Chordata; Mammalia; Rodentia; Muridae
Product: predicted gene, 36886
Exons: 4
Source: RefSeq, a predicted model, not a curated record